UCGGGAAUUUUGGGCAAUGGGCGAAAGCCUGACCCAGCAACGCCGCGUGAAGGAUGAAGUUUUUCGGAAUGUAAACUUCGUAAAAAUAGGAAGAAUAAAUGACGGUACUAUUUGUAAGGUCCGGCUAACUACGUGCCAGCAGCCGCGGUAAUACGUAGGGACCAAGCGUUGUUCGGAUUUACUGGGCGUAAAGGGCGCGUAGGCGGCAAUUCAAGUCAUCUGUGAAAUCUCCGGGCUUAACUCGGAACGGUCAGAUGAUACUGCUUUGCUAGAGUGCAGAAGGGGCAAUCGGAAUUCUUGGUGUAGCGGUGAAAUGCGUAGAUAUCAAGAGGAACACCUGAGGUGAAGACGGGUUGCUGGGCUGACACUGACGCUGAGGCGCGAAAGCCAGGGGAGCAAACGGGAUUAGAUACCCCAGUAGUCCCUGAGCGGGCUGGCAAGGCGCAU
Molecule: ribosomal RNA, 447 nt
Filed under: uncultured bacterium
Lineage: Bacteria
Description: bacterial SSU rRNA
Rfam family: Bacterial small subunit ribosomal RNA
Source: RNAcentral